Molecule: ribosomal RNA, 863 nt
Filed under: uncultured fungus
Lineage: Eukaryota; Fungi
Description: bacterial SSU rRNA
Rfam family: Eukaryotic small subunit ribosomal RNA
Source: RNAcentral
GCGUAUAGGGCGAUUGAUUUAGCGGCCGCCGUUCGCUCUUGUGCCAGCCGCCGCGGUAAUUCCAGCUCCAAUAGCGUAUAUUAGAGUUGUUGUGGUUAAAAAGCUCGUAGUUGAACCUUGGGCCUGGCUGGCCGGUCCGCCUCACCGCGUGCACUGGUCCGGCCGGGCCUUUCCCUCUGUGGAACCCCAUACCCUUCACUGGGCGUGGCGGGGAAACAGGACAUUUACUUUGAAAAAAUUAGAGUGCUCCAGGCAGGCCUAUGCUCGAAUACAUUAGCAUGGAAUAAUAAAAUAGGACGCGCGGUUCUAUUUUGUUGGUUUAUAGGACCGCCGUAAUGAUUAAUAGGGACAGUCGGGGGCAUCAGUAUUCAACUGUCAGAGGUGAAAUUCUUGGAUCAGUUGAAGACUAACUACUGCGAAAGCAUUUGCCAAGGAUGUUUUCAUUAAUCAGGAACGAAAGUUAGGGGAUCGAAGACGAUCAGAUACCGUCGUAGUCUUAACCAUAAACUAUGCCGACUAGGGAUCGGACGGGGUUAUUCAUGACCCGUUCCGCACCUUACGAGAAAUCAAAGUGCUUGUGCUCCUCGGGGAGAAUAAGACGCAAGGCUGAAACUUAAAGAAAUUGACGGAAGGGCAGCCACCAGGGGGUGGAGCUCUGCUGCCUUAAUAUGUCUCACGCGGAGAAACUCACCAGCGCACGACACAAUGAGGAUUGACAGAUGAAGAGCUCUUCUGAUUGGUGGGUGGGCAGCAUGGCCGAUCUUAGGUGGGGGGGUGACUUUGUCUGCUUAAUGACAAAAACAAAAGAGACUAUAAACUGGCAUAAUGACCCCGCAUUUGCUCGGGCAGUGCGUAUGGCUUCU